This 198-nucleotide non-coding RNA is filed under the name Clostridium cavendishii. The record is from RNAcentral. Lineage: Bacteria; Bacillati; Bacillota; Clostridia; Eubacteriales; Clostridiaceae.
AUUGAAUAAUAUCUUAUAGGUUCUUCUUAUAUAAUUAUUUAUAUAAGAAAUUAAAAGGGAAAAAGGUGUAAGACCUUUGCAGCCCCCGCUACUGUAAUGCAGACAAAACCUUGAUUUAACCACUGAGAUGUAUUCUUGGGAAGGUGAGGAAGUAGGAUGAAGCAAAGCCAGAAGACCUGCCGUAAGAUAAUUGUAGAU